Molecule: transfer RNA, 72 nt
Filed under: Bos taurus (domestic cattle)
Lineage: Eukaryota; Metazoa; Chordata; Mammalia; Artiodactyla; Bovidae
Also listed under: 2 other names
Rfam family: tRNA
About the family: Transfer RNA (tRNA) molecules are approximately 80 nucleotides in length.
Source: Rfam by way of RNAcentral
UUCCUGGUGGCUGAAAUGGUAAAGAAUCAGCCUCCAAUGCAGGAGACCCAGGUUCAAUCCCUGGUUUGGGAA